CAGCGGCUUAUUCCGCUACUGAUUUUUGUAUGAAUAUUGCUUUGACCGGCAAUGCUUGUCCACUGCGUCUGGUUUCUUAUUCUAUGACUGGGUCAGAUCCUGAAAUUCGCGUGCUUGCCAACACAAAGGUCUUCCAGGCAGACGAUUCUUCAGAGAGUCCUCGUAGUCGUCCGGUGACACUUUGCACUCAGGGAAGCCAACUUAGGAAUACAUCGGUUUAUUGUAGGACAAAGUAGCAUACAUCGACGAGCGGCGGCUGAUUAUCGGCUGGCUCCUUCCCUCUUCAUCUCUACACACUUUUUUAAGAGAUCAUCAACAAUACACGCUGUACCCGCCCCCAUUUUCUAGUCCGGUUUUUGGAACACGCAGACCAACAUCACUUAAACGAACACCACAUGGCCCUCUUACUUGAAGUUCACACGCCUCAGUGC
Dermacentor silvarum is the source of this 431-nucleotide long non-coding RNA. RefSeq lists it as uncharacterized. The record is from RefSeq and is a predicted model, not a curated record. The transcript has 3 exons. NCBI's taxonomy places the organism in Eukaryota, Metazoa, Arthropoda, Arachnida, Ixodida, Ixodidae.